AAAGACCGGCUCAGCCGGGACCUCGGGUCUCCAGUGCCCCCCGCCAGGCUCCUAAUCCAGCGCGGGGGGCUGGGACGGCGAGGGGAGCCUGCAAACACCUGGAGAGGGCCAGGACCCUACCGCACCCCACUACUGCCCUUGUUCUGGGCCGGGGGCAGCACGCAGCACUGAGCCGCGGCGGGACCGACGGCCACCCGCAGACGGACGGAGCCGCAGCAGGAGGCAGAAGCUGGGGCCUGGCAAAGGCAGCUUGCCCAGGACACACAGAUCAACUCACUCGAAGAACUGGGGCAGGGCAAGGCGGCAGCCGUGUGCCACGGUUGCCCUGGUGGUCAGGACAGCCUGUGACUCAGCACCCACGGGGCUCUCUCAGAGGCGCUCCAGGGCCACCUUUGCCCACUCAUCACUACUGGGACUACAGUGUGGACCUGCCUGGAUCCCAAGCUUCACCAGACGCACAGCCGACAGGACCACCAGGCCUGGACCUGAACCUCCAGCACCAAGAGCCGCAACGUGACCGACACCUACGUGGGAGCAGCACCAGGGCACCAGGUCUUGAGAAAAGAAAGACUUUGUUGCAAGGUCAGCCAGCAAGGAGAUAGGAGGCCAGGUGCCAAUCCGCUUCUCUGCUCUGGGGUCAGGAGUGAAUCUUUAAAAAAAGCUGCUCAGAAGUCCUGGCAGAAGAGGCACCUCCCGAGAGAGACAGGACAAGAAAACACAGGUGUGAGAGUAGAACUUAGUGCCCCACGCAGCCCCUCAUCCUUCCUGGGGACUUUCUCCCUGUCUUAAGCUCACCAAGGGAGCACAGAGGGUGACGGGCGCCACUCUGGCGUGCACUGCUCUGCACACCGCCCGGCGUGCUGCUCCCCAGCUCUGCCACGUGGACACCCUGUCAUUCCGUUUGGCCGGAGCCUUGUCACCUCUAUCUUUAGGGAAGCCCACUCCCACCGGCCCCUGCAGUGGUUCCUGGGUUUCUCUCCUUCUACAAGGCCUGCUGGGCAUGUUCAGAUUCAUGCUGUUUCCUAGCAACAGUUUGUGACAGCCUUGGAUCAGCUACUCCAAUGAGAGGCUGAGGCAGCAUGCGGAGGCUCAUGGCUGAGGGCCGGCAGGUGCAGGAGGUAGCCAAAUCCCAAUGACACCUGCACUUUCCUUUCCCAGGGCAUGCCCAGCAGCCUGCUUCCAUCCCUGAACGCUGUUCAUGCCCUCACCAGCCACAGGGUCACACGGUGGUUGUCGGGUCAUGGGAGUCCCCUCCCAUCCCUCCAGAAGGAGCACGUUGCUAAGAGCCUGCAAUGGCUGCUUGUGACUCCCAUGGCAGCCAUAGCGGAUUGCAUCUGUCCUAGGGGUGGAGUCUGUACCUGUGUGGAAGGGGUGGUGGGCAGGGACAGGAGGAGGACGUUGCAGGGUACUGAGCACCUGGAGUUGGUCACUGGCCUUUCUCAUGGGCUUUGUUGACUGUGCCAUGCCCACUCUGCCCAUCUUCCCUUGAGGAAGGCUGACAUUGGCUUUGUCUGUCUCUCAGGGUGACUAUGAUGCUACAGGUGAGACUUUUUAUUAAUCCAUGGCCAUGGGGCCCACAGUGUGGGGUCCUUAGAAGGGUUUAGCCCUUCCUACCCCACAGCUGACUGUCUGCUCCUGUUCCACACGUGGGCCGAGCAGUCACCUGUCUGAGACAUGCAUCCGUGGAGCACAGCAGGCACCCUGGAUAAAGCAUCAAGCACAC
This is a non-coding RNA of Oryctolagus cuniculus (rabbit), 1723 nucleotides long. NCBI's taxonomy places the organism in Eukaryota, Metazoa, Chordata, Mammalia, Lagomorpha, Leporidae. The record is from RefSeq and is a predicted model, not a curated record.